AACACAUAACCUGCUUUUUGGUAGUGAAAAGAAGUGGCAUGGAGGUUAGAGAGCUUCCACAUUGCAGUUAGAAGACUGCAUUUCAGCUCAUGUCCUCAGAAGUUUAGAAGCCAAGAUGUCCUUAGGAAAAGGUACUGUUAUAAGAAGGAAAUAUCACAAAGCUCUUUAAGGCCAACCUGGUAGCCAGCCACAUUAGCCUUCAUUUACAUGGUUCUGUUCCUGUCAAUAAUAACACAUUAAUGGUUCAUUGGUUGAUGUUUCCUUCAUAAAACAGCCAAGCACAUUGACCUGAUUUUCUCAGUUGACCGCAUCCAUUUUAUAAUAAAUUAGAUCAGUGAUUGAUUUCUUAAAGAUGGGCCAUUGUAUUAAGUCAGAGAGGUGAGAAAUUGAUCAAGGAAUAGUUCCUUUUGCAUCAUAUGAAUGCUUCCUAAUUCAUCCUCUAAUCAACUCUUUGAAUCUACAUUACUUGUGUCAAGAAAUUCUUUACUGUCUAACAAGUUUGACUUUACUUCAUUGGCGAUCAUUCAAAUGUGCCUCUUUAAGGAAAUAAAGGGCAACGUUAUUUAUGUCACAGCGUCUAGGUUUUUUAAAAUAAGGCUCUUAAUUAUAAUCUUUAUUUCCAUAUCAAUUCCCCAAACUUGAUUCUGACAUAGAAAACAAUCUUAUGGUUACCAAAGGAGAACAAGAGGGAUAAAUUAGGAAUUUGGAAUUAACAAGUACAUACUACUAUAUAUAAAAUAAACAACAAGGACCACCAUAUAGCACAGGGAACUGUAUACAAUAUCUUUUAAUAACCUAUAAUGGAAAAGAAUCUAAAAAUGCACGUAUACACAUAUAUGUAUAUAUACCCACAUAUAUACAUAUAUAUCACUAUACCCUACACCUGAAACAUUAUAAAUCAACUAUACUUACACUUUAAAAAUGUAAAUACAGACAUUUCCCAUUGCAGCUCAGCAGUAACAAGCCUGGCUAGUAUCCAUGAGGAUGUGGGUUCAAUCCCUGGCCUCUCUCAGUGGGCUAAGGAUCUGGCAUUGCCAUGAACUGUGGUGUAAGUCGCAGAUGUGGCUGCGACCCCAUGUUGCUGUGGCUGUGGCAUAGGCCCACAGCUGUACUUCUAAUUCGACCCCUAACCAGGGAACUUCCCUGUGCCACUGGUAUAGCCCUAAAAAACAAAACAAAACAAAACAAAAGUAAAAACAAAAAAAAAA
This 1208-nucleotide long non-coding RNA is filed under the name Sus scrofa (pig). Its description in RNAcentral is "lncRNA (ENSSSCG00015076850.1)". Lineage: Eukaryota; Metazoa; Chordata; Mammalia; Artiodactyla; Suidae. The record is from RNAcentral.